RNAcentral lists this long non-coding RNA (1247 nucleotides) under Cairina moschata (Muscovy duck). Its description in RNAcentral is "domestica (muscovy Duck (domestic type)) lncRNA (ENSCMMG00000011343.1)". Lineage: Eukaryota; Metazoa; Chordata; Aves; Anseriformes; Anatidae. The record is from RNAcentral.
CUCUGGAACACAGUGAACUCAAAAAGCCCAUCGGCGCGGGGCGCGCUUAGCAGCCAAGCCUUGCCACUCUCCAGAGACUGUGAGGUGAUUCUCCUUCGUCACCGCUUGGACCAGGAACCACAGCCCUGCAGUGGUUGGCAGUUUUCCUCAACUUUGCAAGAGAGACAGAGAGAUUUGGUUGGAAUGAAACCUUGCUCUCCGAACAGUCUGCUUGAGAUGCAGCAUUGAAAGAUCACUCACAAUCAGUUUGUGGCCUUCCUCUGAAGGAACCUUUCCUGUCUCUUCUGUAAGUAUUUGUUACCAAACAUUUUAUACUUUUCAAUGAGUUACACAUUUUGUUCAAGUUCCAUUUAGGGCAGUAGAGAGCCUUUGUGAACGUCUCUGUUACUGGCCACAAGAGUCAAUAUCGAGUUGUUAUACUGGUGCAGCAGUCCAGAAUUAUAAUGCAGCAUCAGCUUAUGGGACUCAGGCUUAGUUCAGUGACAUUGUGUGAUCAAUUGAUCUGGAAUUAAUAUGUGCAUUUCUGGAGGACUUCUGUUAAAUAUGGGGACAUAUUUGAUGCGAUGGGUAUUGCGUGUUUGAGCUCUGAGAAUAAAGCGUGUCGUAUUCCGUGCUGUGCAAGAGUUAAACAAGUAUAGGAAUCAGUCAACUAGCAUUUCAGCCCAUCCCUGCUGAUACCUGCCCUCAUGGCAUGGAAUCCUUCCUUACCCCAGUCCUUUCCAACCUAAUACCAACCUGCUCUUCUUAUCUGGGUAAACUAAAUAUGCUGUAUUCACCUUGACACCUAACAAUAUCAGAACUAAAAACCUGUUACUGGUUUCUUUGGAAAAUAUGAAGUAGGGUUCUGUUUUUGCCUGUUCUCCUUCACUUGCGUUUGGCUGCCGCUAUGUAAGUUACCAGUGCAGUGACUUUUUUCAUUGGAGAAAAUACAACAUAAAUCCAGAUAAUUGUGUUCUUAAGAACUGGAGCAGUUUAAAAAAAAAAAAAAUCAUUUGAGUUUUGCUUUUUCUUUUGGGGGGGCACGGGGAAUGGAACUCAGGGAGAAUUUGUUUGUUUUCUUUUAGUUUUUAAUCUUGCCAGGCUCUAAUCCGUGAUAGUUUUGUGUAUUUAGAACAAAAGUUUACAUUUUGCAUUGAGUUUUUAAUACAUAUUGGCAGUGAAAUCUACUGUUUUGUAACAAUGAAGCUUUUUGUUGUGAUAUAAAGGGAAAUAUAGAACUAGCACAUCAUAAUAUUUACUAAAGUAAA